RNAcentral lists this long non-coding RNA (781 nucleotides) under Homo sapiens (human). Its description in RNAcentral is "HSALNT0178921". Lineage: Eukaryota; Metazoa; Chordata; Mammalia; Primates; Hominidae. The record is from RNAcentral.
AUAGGUUCAACCAGAUUUUAGCACAGCUCAGACCAAAUGGAACUGUUUAUGGCUAUGUGUCAUCAGAUUGCAAAACAGAAGGAAUCUAUUCUUACUAUUAAAUGGCCAACUCCCACGAGAAUCCAUAUUUAAUAGUGCAUGUAACAUUCUAUGCUUGGCUGAUUAUUUCUCUUCACACAUAAGAAAGCAUAAUUGAUGAUAGGUAAGAGAGGGAGAAUAUGGUUCAGAUUUAGAAAAAAUAAAAUUGGUAUUUAAGUGUUAAUUAGGGUACUUAGCACUCUUCUAAGCAUUUUGCAAUGUUAAAUCAUGUACUACUUCUCAACCCUUUAAGGCGGGGCCUCUCAGAGCAGCCUGAGAGCUGAGAAGCAGAAAAUGCACAGAAGAUGAACCUUGGGAACCAUCUGAGUUCUCAUCCUCAAGAAGAUGGUUAUAUUAUGGAAAAGAUCAAACUGACUGUUAUGCUCACAUAAAAUUAAUUCCACAGUUGUUCUUUAACAAUGAAUGCAUUUGAAGUCUAAAAAUAACCAUUGUAAAUGAAAACAGUUGGUUUAUUAGAGAAGUGGGAUUCUAGAUUUUCCCCUGCUCUAUCUCUCCUGUUUGUGUGUGUGUGAGUGUGUUGGCUUUCUGUUACUCUUGCAAUGAUAUUGUUUAUUAGAUUUUCCCCUAAAAUUAUUGUAAAUAUUAAUAAUACUUAAGAAAUAAAUGCUUCUAUUUUGUGUCCCCAAAACUCCAAGAGGAGGAAAUUACUAAGAUAAAAGAAUGAUGGUUAAUAAAGUUUCAG